AGCGAACGCUGGCGGCAGGCUUAACACAUGCAAGUCGAACGGGCACUUCGGUGCUAGUGGCAGACGGGUGAGUAACGCGUGGGAACGUGCCUUUCGGUUCGGAAUAAUCCAGGGAAACUUGGACUAAUACCGGAUACGCCCUUCGGGGAAAGAUUAUCGCCGAAAGAUCGGCCCGCGUCUGAUUAGCUAGUUGGUGAGGUAAAGGCUCACCAAGGCGACGAUCAGUAGCUGGUCUGAGAGGAUGAUCAGCCACACUGGGACUGAGACACGGCCCAGACUCCUACGGGAGGCAGCAGUGGGGAAUAUUGGACAAUGGGCGAAAGCCUGAUCCAGCCAUGCCGCGUGAGUGAUGAAGGCCUUAGGGUUGUAAAGCUCUUUGUCCGGGAAGAUAAUGACUGUACCGGAAGAAUAAGCCCCGGCUAACUUCGUGCCAGCAGCCGCGGUAAU
Molecule: ribosomal RNA, 447 nt
Filed under: uncultured bacterium
Lineage: Bacteria
Description: bacterial SSU rRNA
Rfam family: Bacterial small subunit ribosomal RNA
Source: RNAcentral